RNAcentral lists this ribosomal RNA (253 nucleotides) under uncultured bacterium. RNAcentral's name for it is "partial 16S ribosomal RNA". It matches the Rfam family "Bacterial small subunit ribosomal RNA", at positions 524 to 776 of the family's 1533-position model. The record is from RNAcentral.
GACGAACCGAGCGAACGUUGUUCGGAAUCACUGGGCUUAAAGGGCGCGUAGGCGGGCACUUAAGUCUGUGGUGAAAUCCGGCAGCUUAACUGUCGAACUGCCGUGGAUACUGGGUGUCUCGAGGGAGGUAGGGGCGUGCGGAACUGAUGGUGGAGCGGUGAAAUGCGUUGAUAUCAUCAGGAACUCCGGUGGCGAAGGCGGCACGCUGGACCUCUUCUGACGCUGAGGCGCGAAAGCCAGGGGAGCAAACGGG